GGCUGGACUCAAUUUGUCCGGCAAGAGAAGACCUCAGAGGUGGCCCUCUGCCCACCUGGGCUGGACAUCUGCUAGCUGAGUGUGCCUCACACCCCUUCUUCACAUGCCCAGAAAACCACCAUGUUGUGAGGAAGCCCGGGCCACAUGGAGAAGCCAUAUACGGAUGUUCCUGCCAAAAGGCCCCUAGCUGGCAACGAGCCUCAAUCAGCGGACAUGCAAGUAAAGGACCCUCUGAAUGACUCCAGUCCCCAGCCUUCAUCAACAACCAUAAUCUGAAGCCCUGGACAUCAUAGAGCAGAGAAUAGCCGUAUUGGUCAUCACUGUCUUUGGUCUGAAUUGCUAAUCAGUAGAAAUCUUGAGAUAAUAAAUGAUGAAGUAAUUUUGCUUCAAGACUUAGCGCAAAAAAA
Lynx canadensis (Canada lynx) is the source of this 407-nucleotide long non-coding RNA. RefSeq lists it as uncharacterized. Lineage: Eukaryota; Metazoa; Chordata; Mammalia; Carnivora; Felidae. The record is from RefSeq and is a predicted model, not a curated record. The transcript has 2 exons.